This 75-nucleotide transfer RNA is filed under the name Actinomycetes bacterium. RNAcentral describes it as "tRNA-Ile". It matches the Rfam family "tRNA". Rfam says of the family: Transfer RNA (tRNA) molecules are approximately 80 nucleotides in length. Lineage: Bacteria; Bacillati; Actinomycetota; Actinomycetes. The record is from RNAcentral. RNAcentral also lists the same sequence under 1 other name.
GGGCCCGUAGCUCAACGGUGGAGCAGGGGACUCAUAAUCCCUUGGUUGUAGGUUCGAAUCCUACCGGGCCCACCA